Molecule: ribosomal RNA, 319 nt
Filed under: uncultured eukaryote
Lineage: Eukaryota
Description: partial 18S ribosomal RNA
Rfam family: Eukaryotic small subunit ribosomal RNA
Source: RNAcentral
CCCUUAGAUGUUCUGGGCAGCACGCGCGCUACAAUGGUCUUCGCAAACGGAUGCAUUCUCGAAGGAGAAUGCCAAUCUUGGAAUCUAUGCCUUGGUCGGGACAGUUGCUUGCAAUUUUUCGACUCGAACCAGGAAUUCCUUGUAAUCGUGAUUCAUCACAUCACGAUGAAUACGUCCCUGCCCUUUGUACACACCGCCCGUCGCUCCUACCGAUCGAAGAGUUAGGUGAAUUGUUUUGAUCGAUAAGAUUUGACUAUGGUUAACUCUCGUUGGGAAAUUCUGUGAAUCUGACUGUUUAGAGGAAGGAAAAGUCGUAACA